This is a long non-coding RNA of Gallus gallus (chicken), 1758 nucleotides long. The record is from Ensembl. NCBI's taxonomy places the organism in Eukaryota, Metazoa, Chordata, Aves, Galliformes, Phasianidae.
AUUUUGCUAGAGAUUCCUGUGUACCUGGGACCUUCUGAAGGAGCAGAUGAACCGUGCCAAAGGCUGAAUGCCUGGAAAUCCCCAGCAUGAAAGUCUUACGAUGAGCCCCAUAUGCAAUCUACCGCUGCCUUAGUAGAGGUAAGAAUUGAGGUUCCAAGUUGUCCCUUGCCUUAACUGGACCUGCUGGUAGAAGUGUACCAGAGAAAACUUCCUUACACUUUGUGGCACUUGAUAGUGCUGUUCAACACACGUGCAGAGUGGCGGCCCUGAGCACACCUCGUUGCAAGCUGCUUUGGGUUUAUGGUCCCUCUGUGGUCUUUGGGUAGCAUACUGGUCCUAGCUGGAGGAGUUUACAGCCAUGUUCUGGAAGACACAUUCUUUGUACUUACCUGUUAGAUUUUCAUAGAAGCUAUGUGUAUUUCCUAACAAGAUACAAAUGAUGGACUUGGUAUUCUUAGUGAUCUAUCCCUCUGCCUUCAAUCCAUUCUCCUGCAUAUCUUUUUGCUUUCCUUUCAUUGCAAUCAUGUUAACUGUGUACUGUAGCCAUUGCUGUCCGUGAUGUAUUUGUUUCAAAGCAUUUUACUUGUUAAGAGAGAGUUGGAUAACAAGUAAUAAAAAAAAUCCAAGCAUGUGACCAUUUGAUUGGUAAGUUUUGAGUGCAGUCCUACCAUCAUAAUGAAAGAGCAGAUCCCACAGAAUAAUACAAUGGAAGAAUAAUCUUUGCCACAGGGGAACUCUUGCAAGCAAAAUCAAUCUUGAUAGCUGUUUCUGUGGUUUAGAUGAAAUUAAUAGGCCGAGGGUGGGAAUGUAAUCCCAUGUUAACAACAUUUUUCAUGGCACCAUGAGCUGUGUAUCAUGCUCUCCUCAUGCAGUUGUGACCAUUUUUCAUAUAUCAAUACAUUAUGAUUCACCGUGAUGUACACAGAAACCAAAAGUCCAGAUGACGUUUUAGGGCUGUAACUGAAAGUUGGGGUUAUUUCUGUAGUUUAGCGUCUUGUUUUGUGAUUGUUGUUAGUUUUUUAUUUAUUCUUUUACGAAGAUGAUUCUAUUUUCUGUCUCUAUGAGAGGUUUACUUCUACAUUUAAGUAAUUUGCUAUUCUGCAGGGCCCACUUUAAGGAUUACAGGAAAAUUUAGCUUGGGCUUUUAAUACAAUGAAAUGACUGUUUUUUUUAAUCUAAUUGCAGUUUGUUUAAUUUUAUGUCCAGCUUAGAGCUUUAAACUUCUUGUAAAACACUGCAUAAAGUACUGGGAGUUCUUGUACUUCCUAAUUCUGUCUGGCAUUUACAACAAUUCUUUCACUAUCAGUGAGGGUAUGGCUCCUAGCUCUGCCAAGACGGACUUAAAGGCCAAUCUUCUCCAUUGAUAUGAAUAGGAGACUUUCUGUGGAUUUGGGGGGGGUUGAUUUGGACUCUUUAUUACUUUAUUGCUUCACCUUUGCAAGCUGAAUUCCAGGCAGUUCUCCAUGGUAAAAAUCUUGGUGCUAUUGAAGUCACUGGGAUAUUUCCUGUGGAAUGCGAAGGAGUCCAGAUUUUAACUCGGAUGUUUAAUAACUCACAAUUUAAAAUAAAUCCUAGAGCUGGAAAUAGGUUGACUUGGACAUUCUGCUUUGAAACAGGCACAGGUGAUUAAGAUGGAAGAAAACUUCCAUACUGAAGCUUGAUUAAGGUCAGAGUGACUAUUAGAUGCUUGGUGUUAACUACAGCUGUAUGGGACAGAAUUUAUCAAAGUCUGCUAUUAGCCCGUUAAAGGAAAGCCUG